GACGAACGCUGGCGGCGUGCUUAACACAUGCAAGUCGAACGAUGAACCCGGGGCUUGCUCCGGCGGAUUAGUGGCGAACGGGUGAGUAACACGUGAGUAACCUGCCCUUGACUCUGGGAUAACUGCUAGAAAUGGUAGCUAAUACCGGAUACGACCCUCGGUGGCAUCACCAGGGGGUGGAAAGAAUUUCGGUCAAGGAUGGACUCGCGGCCUAUCAGCUAGUUGGUGAGGUGACGGCUCACCAAGGCGACGACGGGUAGCCGGCCUGAGAGGGUGACCGGCCACACUGGGACUGAGACACUGCCCAGACUCCUACGGGAGGCAGCAGUGGGGAAUAUUGCACAAUGGGCGCAAGCCUGAUGCAGCAACGCCGCGUGAGGGAUGACGGCCUUCGGGUUGUAAACCUCUUUUAGUAGGGAAGAAGCGAAAGUGACGGUACCUGCAGAAAAAGCACCGGCUAACUACGUGCCAGCCGCCGCAGUAA
RNAcentral lists this ribosomal RNA (484 nucleotides) under uncultured bacterium. Its description in RNAcentral is "partial 16S ribosomal RNA". It matches the Rfam family "Bacterial small subunit ribosomal RNA", at positions 28 to 523 of the family's 1533-position model. The record is from RNAcentral.